This 482-nucleotide ribosomal RNA is filed under the name uncultured bacterium. RNAcentral describes it as "partial 16S ribosomal RNA". It matches the Rfam family "Bacterial small subunit ribosomal RNA", at positions 30 to 507 of the family's 1533-position model. The record is from RNAcentral.
AUUGAACGCUGGCGGCAUGCUUUACACAUGCAAGUCGAACGGUAACAGGCCGCAAGGUGCUGACGAGUGUCGAACGGGGGAGUAAUGCAUCGGAACGGGCCCAGUCGUUGGGGAUAACUACUCGAAAGAGUAACUAAUACCUCAUACCAUCUAUGGAUGUAAGCAGGAGACCUUAAGGCCUCGCGCGGUUGGAGCGGCCGCUGUCAGAUUAGGUAGUUGGUGGGGUAAAGGCUCACCAAGCCAACGAUUUGUAGCGGGUCUGAGAGGACGACCAGCCACACUGGGACUGAGACACGGCCCAGACUCCUACGGGAGGCAGCAGUGGGGAAUUUUGCACAAUGGGCGAAAGCCUGAUCCAGCAAUGCCGCGUGCAGGAAGAAGGCCUUCGGGUUGUAAACUGCUUUUGUAAGGAACGAAACGGCUCUGGUUAAUACACGGGGCUAAUGACGGUACCGUAACAGAAAGCACCGGCUAACUACGUG